UCCGAGUUGACCCCGGCAGUCUCCUAUGAGUCCCCGGCUUGAACCGCUGGCAACAUAGGACAAGGGUUGCGCUCGUUACGGGACUUAACCCAACACCUCACGGCACGAGCUGACGACAGCCAUGCAGCACCUAGUUUCGUGCCCUUGCGGGAAGAUCUCUUUCAAGAUCGGUCACUAACUUUCAAGCCCGGGUAAGGUUCCUCGCGUAUCAUCGAAUUAAACCAUAUGCUCCUCCGCUUGUGCGGGCCCCCGUCAAUUCCUUUGAGUUUCAAUCUUGCGACCGUACUUCCCAGGUGGAUAACUUAAUGCUUUCGCUUGGACGCGUACAGUAUAUCGCACACAUCGAGUUAUCAUCGUUUAGGGCGUGGACUAC
Molecule: unclassified non-coding RNA, 373 nt
Filed under: uncultured Sphingobacteriales bacterium
Lineage: Bacteria; Pseudomonadati; Bacteroidota; Sphingobacteriia; Sphingobacteriales
Description: contains 16S-23S intergenic spacer region
Source: RNAcentral